UGCCCUUAGGUUCGGAAUAACAGUGAGAAAUCGCUGCUAAUACCGGAUAAUGUCUUCGGACCAAAGAUUUAUCGCCUUUGGAUGGGCCCGCGUUGGAUUAGCUAGUUGGUGAGGUAAAGGCUCACCAAGGCGACGAUCCAUAGCUGGUCUUAGAGGAUGAUCAGCCACACUGGGACUGAGACACGGCCCAGACUCCUACGGGAGGCAGCAGUGGGGAAUAUUGGACAAUGGGCGAAAGCCUGAUCCAGCAAUGCCGCGUGAGUGAUGAAGGCCUUAGGGUUGUAAAGCUCUUUUACCAGGGAUGAUAAUGACAGUACCUGGAGAAUAAGCUCCGGCUAACUCCGUGCCAGCAGCCGCGGUAAUACGGAGGGAGCUAGCGUUGUUCGGAAAUACUGGGCGUAAAGCGCACGUAGGCGGUGUCGCAAGUCAGGGGUGAAAUCCCGGGGCUCAACCCCGGAACUGCCCUUGAAACUG
This 474-nucleotide ribosomal RNA is filed under the name Erythrobacter sp. RNAcentral describes it as "bacterial SSU rRNA". It matches the Rfam family "Bacterial small subunit ribosomal RNA", at positions 127 to 635 of the family's 1533-position model. The record is from RNAcentral. Lineage: Bacteria; Pseudomonadati; Pseudomonadota; Alphaproteobacteria; Sphingomonadales; Erythrobacteraceae.